This 395-nucleotide long non-coding RNA is filed under the name Struthio camelus australis. RNAcentral describes it as "lncRNA (ENSSCUG00000013277.1)". Lineage: Eukaryota; Metazoa; Chordata; Aves; Struthioniformes; Struthionidae. The record is from RNAcentral.
CUGGCAUGCACUUCUUUUUAUCCUAAAUUGAAGCAGCACUUUUUCGUAUAAACAUCCUUUUGCUUGACAGUAGAAAUGAUGAACAGAGUUGUCUGCUUCUAAGGAUUCCUAUAUAAGCUCUAAAGACCUCAAUGCCGGUGAACCUCAGCAUGGAUGGGCUCUACCUGGUAUGCUGUGUCCUGACUAGAGGUCUGUCUGAUGCCGCACAACUUUUGGAGCACGACCUUAGAGCAAGAGCCAGCGACGCUCAGCCAGUGCUGAGCUCUACGUACAAGGAUCAGCCAGCAACACCAGCGCUGCGGAGUGGAGUGGAUAUUGUCUGUCUUCAACCCACCCUUCCGCCACACAUGUGGGGGUCUCUCCAGCAGAGCUGUGGAUUUGCACAGAUGCAGUGA